Molecule: ribosomal RNA, 255 nt
Filed under: uncultured bacterium
Lineage: Bacteria
Description: partial 16S ribosomal RNA
Rfam family: Bacterial small subunit ribosomal RNA
Source: RNAcentral
UACGUAGGGGGCAAGCGUUAUCCGGAAUUAUUGGGCGUAAAGGAUGCGUAGAUGGUGUAGUAAGUUAUCGGUGGCAAAUCGAGGCUCAACCUCGUGGAAGUCGGUAAUACUGCUAUGCUAGAGGAUAGGAGAGGUUAACGGAACUCCCUGUGGAGCGGUGAAAUGCGUAGAUAUAGGGAAGAACACCAAUCAGGCGAAGGCAGUUAACUAUUCUAUUCCUGACAUUGAGGCAUGAAAGCGUGGGGAGCAAAACGG